UCGGCCUCGGUAUCGCGGCGGCCCUCCAGAAAUCCAUCAUCAGCACAGCCCCGGUGGCAAUCACUUCUCUGAGACCGGCAGGAAACAGAGAAGAGUCUCGGCAGCAUGGUCACAAGAGCAGGAGGUGGAGGGAGGAAGAGUUGUUAUGCGGGACGUCGACAAGAUUCAGCAAGAAAAAGAUUAUCAUACCGGCACUCCCCAUGCCGGAUUUCCUGAGCAAUUGCUGCUUGUGCAGGAAACAGCUCCAUGGAAAAGAUGUAUACAUGUAUCAGGAGAAGGCCUUCUGCAGCAUGGAGUGCCGAUACCAGCAGAUAGUCGGUGAUGAGCUGCAGGAGAAG
Molecule: unclassified non-coding RNA, 338 nt
Filed under: Hevea brasiliensis (rubber tree)
Lineage: Eukaryota; Viridiplantae; Streptophyta; Magnoliopsida; Malpighiales; Euphorbiaceae
Source: RNAcentral